GGAAGCGUCUGGAAAGGCGCGCGAUACAGGGUGACAGCCCCGUACACAAAAAUGCACAUGCUGUGAGCUCGAUGAGUAGGGCGGGACACGUGGUAUCCUGUCUGAAUAUGGGGGGACCAUCCUCCAAGGCUAAAUACUCCUGACUGACCGAUAGUGAACCAGUACCGUGAGGGAAAGGCGAAAAGAACCCCGGCGAGGGGAGUGAAAAAGAACCUGAAACCGUGUACGUACAAGCAGUGGGAGCCUCUUUUAUGGGGUGACUGCGUACCUUUUGUAUAAUGGGUCAGCGACUUAUAUUCUGUAGCAAGGUUAACCGAAUAGGGGAGCCGAAGGGAAACCGAGUCUUAACUGGGCGUUAAGUUGCAGGGUAUAGACCCGAAACCCGGUGAUCUAGCCAUGGGCAGGUUGAAGGUUGGGUAACACUAACUGGAGGACCGAACCGACUAAUGUUGAAAAAUUAGCGGAUGACUUGUGGCUGGGGGUGAAAGGCCAAUCAAACCGGGAGAUAGCUGGUUCUCCCCGAAAGCUAUUUAGGUAGCGCCUCGUGAAUUCAUCUCCGGGGGUAGAGCACUGUUUCGGCAAGGGGGUCAUCCCGACUUACCAACCCGAUGCAAACUGCGAAUACCGGAGAAUGUUAUCACGGGAGACACACGGCGGGUGCUAACGUCCGUCGUGAAGAGGGAAACAACCCAGACCGCCAGCUAAGGUCCCAAAGUCAUGGUUAAGUGGGAAACGAUGUGGGAAGGCCCAGACAGCCAGGAUGUUGGCUUAGAAGCAGCCAUCAUUUAAAGAAAGCGUAAUAGCUCACUGGUCGAGUCGGCCUGCGCGGAAGAUGUAACGGGGCUAAACCAUG
Molecule: ribosomal RNA, 853 nt
Filed under: Escherichia coli
Lineage: Bacteria; Pseudomonadati; Pseudomonadota; Gammaproteobacteria; Enterobacterales; Enterobacteriaceae
Description: partial 23S ribosomal RNA
Rfam family: Bacterial large subunit ribosomal RNA
Source: RNAcentral